UACGUAGGGUGCAAGCGUUGUCCGGAAUUAUUGGGCGUAAAGGGCUCGUAGGCGGUCCAUCGCGUCGGGAGUGAAAAGCUGGGGCUUAACCCCAGUCCUGCUUCCGAUACGGGUGGACUAGAGGUAGGUAGGGGAGAACGGAAUUCCUGGUGUAGCGGUGAAAUGCGUAGAUAUCUGGAGGAACACCGGUGGCGAAGGCGGCAUCCUGGACCAACACUGACACUGAGGAGCGAAAGCCAGGGGAGCAAACGGG
This 253-nucleotide ribosomal RNA is filed under the name uncultured bacterium. RNAcentral's name for it is "partial 16S ribosomal RNA". It matches the Rfam family "Bacterial small subunit ribosomal RNA", at positions 524 to 776 of the family's 1533-position model. The record is from RNAcentral.